UACGUAGGGUCCGAGCGUUGUCCGGAAUUAUUGGGCGUAAAGAGCUCGUAGGCGGUAUGUCGCGUCUGCUGUGAAAGACCGGGGCUUAACUUCGGUUUUGCAGUGGAUACAGGCAUGCUUGAGGUAGGUAGGGGAGACUGGAAUUCCUGGCGUAGCGGUGAAAUGCGCAGAUAUCAGGAGGAACACCGGUGGCGAAGGCGGGUCUCUGGGCCUUACCUGACGCUGAGGAGCGAAAGCAUGGGUAGCCAACAGGAAUAGAUACCCGCGUAGU
RNAcentral lists this ribosomal RNA (271 nucleotides) under uncultured prokaryote. Its description in RNAcentral is "partial 16S ribosomal RNA". It matches the Rfam family "Bacterial small subunit ribosomal RNA", at positions 524 to 794 of the family's 1533-position model. The record is from RNAcentral.